This is a long non-coding RNA of Oryzias melastigma (Indian medaka), 2934 nucleotides long. RefSeq lists it as uncharacterized. The transcript is spliced from 6 exons. Lineage: Eukaryota; Metazoa; Chordata; Actinopteri; Beloniformes; Adrianichthyidae. The record is from RefSeq and is a predicted model, not a curated record.
GGGCAGUGUCGCGGAAGUUAUCGCUGGGCAUUUUAUUUUGAAAAGACGCAAAGCAGUCGUCUUCCUGUUUAGCUGUCUGCUCCGCGGCUGUUUCAUCUGCAUGAUAGAGAAAAUAUCCACGAAGUUUUAAGAGGACGGAAAUGUGCGUCGUGGUAGUGAGGAAGCCAUGACAGACGCGUAGCUUGUGAGAAAACGGCGCCAUUUCCAGCGUUCCUGAGUGUAAAGCUGCUAAAAAAAGCAGCCAGUCCCAUGGGCCCGGUGGCGGUGGUGGUGUUGGUGUGGUUUCCUGCUUAUGUUGUGACGUGAGACAGUUCUCCUCUGCUGUUCUCUACACAUGUACAAAAUGUGAAGAUGGAAUGCUGCUCUGACAAAACUGAAGUCCUCCAGCUCAAGUCUGUGUGGAAAUUCUGUCUGUGGAGCAGAUUUGAUGGUUUUCAGAGGAACAACAGAGUGAAGAACCCUCCUCAUCAUCAGCCAGUUCCUGAGAAUGGAUCCAGCAGCCAUUACCCUGCAGAGCUGUGGAACAGCACAUCAGUAUUUCAAAGGGGAAGAGCGGGUUCACCGUGAGUUCAGUAGCGAGGCUGCUGGGAGGAAGGACGCCACACAUAUGUGACUUUAAAGGUUUAAAAUAACUAAAAAGAUUGAAUCUCCUAACUUUUUUCUAAUCCGCUGUUGCUUAUUAACGUUAAACAGUGCAAUACUUUUUUAUCUUAACUUUGUUAAAAGUAUUUUAUUCACCCUAGAAGUUCAAAUAAAACUGAAUUCACUUGCACGAAGGUCCUAGUGGGAAAAAAAAUCAAAAGAUCCACUUCUCUCCUCUAAUCAUGUUACCUUUUUGAAACAUUGGAGUUUUUAUCCGGACCGUAUCCAGAAUAUUCAUAAUAAUCCCUUCCUGUGAAGUCCUACAGGCCCUACAGCCGCAUUACUACCAUGAAAGUAGCUCCUCUGAGCCGAGUUUAAACCAGCUGACAGGAAAGAUCAUACACGAUCUUUGAGAGAUUUUUUUUCUCAGCUGAGUCUGGACUGGGGAGGGACACAACCUCACCUGCAAAAUAUAGCUUAAAACAUGCAUAGAUACAAUAAAAUGACUAUACUAAAAUAAUAAAUCAAAAAUUACUUUUUAGCCAUGUUUAUUCCAUGAUGACUUUUUUCAUUGUGGUUUUUCAACAUUUCUUUGGUUAAAAAGAAAAGUAGCAAAUUUACAAGUUUCCGGUUCAAUUAAUAAUGUGUUUUUUAUCAUCAUAAAAGAUGCUUUCUUCCAAAUUCCGUAAUUUGCUAAUUUUUUUCAGCGCUCUGAUUACAUUGGUGCCAGUUAUUUAGACUUUUUAUCCGCUGAAAAUAUACUUUAGAAAUACACUGUGAGGCCCGCAGUACCCAUGCUUCAAGGCAGAGGGCGCUGGUGAUCCCAGAGAAUGUGACACUGCAGCUAAAGAAUAUUAGAAUUAGAAGUAGCAGGUCAGUAGCCAUCUAGUUAUUCUUUAUUAUUGUUUAGCAUCAUUUUUAAACGCUCACGAGACUUGAUUGACGACUCACGAGUAAAAGUAAGCCAAUAAUAACGAUGUUGGUCUUUUUUUAAAAUGCUAUAGGUUUUCAAUUAAAUGUUAAAAUGAAACAACAUACUUUAAGUAUUGUUAAUCGAAUGGUAAAUAAGCUACUCUGUAGGGUUCAUAUAUUUGUAAAUCUGACUGAUGAUGUCAGUGCCUCACCAGACGUUACAGUUUUUCUUGGAUGAAAUUACUUUAAAUCAUGAGGAUCCAUUACGUCUCUGGUUGAUCUUGAGAAUAGCUCGGGUGGAUUAGGGGCCAUAAAAAACUAACAAAGAAAAAAUAUUUCUAUAAUAAAUACGCUGUUGAAGGAAAAAUGACAGUAGUUUUUACUAUUUAAUAAUCUCAUGCCUUUUUUAUCAAUUUAUCAAUUAAGAUAAAUGUUUUGUCUGAUAUAGUUUAAAAUCUGAUUUUAUUUGUCUUUGUUUUUAAGUAUGAACAUUUCAAACUAUGAGUUUAUAAUUUAUGAUUACAUUCAUUUGAUAUGCAGAUAAUUUACUCCAAAAUGAUCAAAAUGAUGACAGCGUUUCAGAACCACAAUAUAUAUAUAUUUUUUUUACAUUUUAGGUUUAAACUCUCAGCCUUUAUUUUUGGGGGGAUUUUUCUGUUAGUAAUCGUUAAAUGAAGGAUAGAGGAGCAGCAGAAUGAAUUUCUAUUCUUGUAAAACUUUAACACACAACAAGCAUGAACAAUAGUUGAAAACAGAUUAAAAAUACUAUUAAAAAAAGUGUGGAAUAGGAAGGUUUUGAUGAGAAAAAUCAAAGAAAAAAUCCUCUUUAAGGAGAAAAGUAAUGCAAAUAUGACUCAAAUAUUUUGUAUUUAAACAUUAAAUUCAUUGUAUGAAGAUAACCAGCCAAGCUGUCAGAUUUGCCUGUAAAAAUUAAAUUCUAUAGAUGUCAAAAAUAGAUUUGGACUCGUCUGCCUGAGUAAACACGCUGGCUGGUUUUGUUCACUUUGUGGUUAAUGUUUUAUUUUAAUAACCGUGUUCUCUGUGUGUCUUUUUUCUUCUUUGUCUCUUUGGCCCCAAUAGUUCUGCAUUUAUCUAAUUAGCUUUCAGUGUUUACUUAAUCCUCUUUUUCAUUUUAAUCUGUUCAUUUUCUUUCUUCUCAUUAGUUUUGUCUGCCCUGAUUCAUCCUUUGGGCGAUUUAAUCCUCAUUAUCUCCAGGAUCUUUUUAUUCUUUAAUAAAUGUUUUACUUAUAUUUGGUUAGAGUUGCUGUCUGUCCCUUCAGGUGAAUUUAUUUCACAAAACAUAUUUUUAAAGUCUCAUGAUAAAGUCUUUCUUUUGAUUCACUCAAUUCAAUUCAAUUUUGAGUCACACAUUGAGACACAUUUGUUUAGAAAUACAUUAAUAAUCUGUAUUUAUGUUUUGAAGAUUUUCAUAUUAAUUUG